CACCCCCGCUCAUCAAUGAGCAAAGAGACAGCUUGUUGGUGGUGCUGUUCUUAGAUCAGCCAGGGGCAGAGUAGGUGGCAGUGCUUUGUUCAUCCUAGCUUGACGCCUUGGUUGAUGGCCAAAGCUGUGUCAUGCCUAGGACUCAUAA
This is a small nucleolar RNA of Acomys russatus (golden spiny mouse), 148 nucleotides long. RefSeq annotates it as small nucleolar RNA SNORA48. The transcript has a single exon. Lineage: Eukaryota; Metazoa; Chordata; Mammalia; Rodentia; Muridae. The record is from RefSeq and is a predicted model, not a curated record.